GUCCAUGCCGUAAACGUUGGGCACUAGGUGUGGGCGACAUUCCACGUUGUCCGUGCCGCAGCUAACGCAUUAAGUGCCCCGCCUGGGGAGUACGGCCGCAAGGCUAAAACUCAAAGGAAUUGACGGGGGCCCGCACAAGCGGCGGAGCAUGUGGCUUAAUUCGACGCAACGCGAAGAACCUUACCAAGGCUUGACAUACACCGGAUCGCCGCAGAGAUGUGGUUUCCCUUGUGGUCGGUGUACAGGUGGUGCAUGGCUGUCGU
This 263-nucleotide ribosomal RNA is filed under the name uncultured bacterium. Its description in RNAcentral is "partial 16S ribosomal RNA". It matches the Rfam family "Bacterial small subunit ribosomal RNA", at positions 793 to 1055 of the family's 1533-position model. The record is from RNAcentral.